Molecule: long non-coding RNA, 2191 nt
Filed under: Nicotiana benthamiana
Lineage: Eukaryota; Viridiplantae; Streptophyta; Magnoliopsida; Solanales; Solanaceae
Description: long non-coding RNA (NBEN_LNC018642)
Source: RNAcentral
UCUCUCUCUCUCUAACCCUUCGUCUCUGAGUUCUCUCUAGAACCUUCCGAUUCUCUACCUUCUCCGAUGGAUUUCACCGCCAUUCCAGCCACCUCCACUCUCAUUCCCAUCGACCACCAUUCCCCAUGGUACCUUAUCUCACUAUUUCUCUCUCAAACUCGAAGUCCAGAAGCUUCCGCCAUGGAAGACGGUCGACUACAGCUCGCUUGAGUCCGUGCCAGCAUUUCUCCUGUGGUUUUUACGCGAUAAUGCUCUCUAUGGCAUUAAUGAUGAGUUUCAUGGCCAGGUUCCUCAUUUUGCCUAAUUUGUUUUCAAACCCUACUUUUCUACUCGAAUCUCUCUAAUUCUUGUGCUUCUAAAACAAUUUUUAGUCCGAUUUCUGUUUUCUACUCUAUUUCUCACUUAGUAUUUCCGAUUAUUUCAAGUUUUUGAUAAUUUCUUCUCUUUUCAAAAUUAGGGUUUCUGACCCCUUUCUUCAAAAUUGUUUCUUCUGCUUUUUUGAGUAUUACAUGUUUGUUUGUGCAUGUUUGUUUUACGAGUUUGUUUGGUUUCCUUAAUAGUCUGAAUUCCAUGCCUUAAUUCCUUGCUUAGGUUCUCAGAAUUUCAUGUCUAUUAUGCUUUAUAGGCCUAAAUUUUCAUUGUUCGUGCAAUAUUCUAUUGAUCUUGUACAUCUCUGUGAAUCUUUGAUUUGUAUGUGAUUUUCCUUAGAUGUUUUCUUGACUUCUUUUGAAUUACUUCCUUAUUUGGGCAUGCUUUCCAUACUUAAAAACAAUUCCCUCUAAUUUUUUUGUCAUGUCUGAGAUUCUUUGACUAAUUGUUAGAAUCAACUUAUAUUUCCUUGCCAUAUUUGUGCAUAAAUAAUCGUUUGAAUCUUCAGCAUAUAUUUUCCUUAAUUGAACUAUCAUGUACCUAACCCUUAUUGCGUAUUAUAUGCUUUACUACUUUCAUUAGGGCAAACACAACAGUUAAUUUAUUCCUUUUCUUUUGAAACCAAUGCUUGUUAUCGUUUGUCUUUGACUCCUUAGUCAAAGAGGAAUGUUGAUACUAAUUGGAUUUCUAUUGAUACUAGUUCCUUAAUUAAGGAUUGAUGCUCUGUUUAUGUACUCGUUUCUAGUACUAUAAAUACCCCUCCCCAUUCUCAUUGAAAGACACCAACACAUACUACAUAUCUCCUGCAAUUUCAAACUCUUUAAAUUCUCUCUUUCACUUUCUCUACUAUUUUUAUACUCUCUCAUUCUCUUAUUUGAACACUCAAUCGGCUGAAAGCCAAGAUUGAGUAAACUUGGGUUUGUUUUACUACACUAUUGGGGUUCUACUGCAUUGUUUAUUUGGGUUUGCUGCUACACAUUGCUGUUCUAACACUGCUAUUCUCACAUUGCUGCUCACACUCUCUGCUCACUCUACUCUUCUUGUGCAUUAUUGCUCUUUGGGUUCUAUUUGCCUGCAAAUGGUAUGUUACAUGUUUAAUAUACAUUCUCAAAAACAACAUGCUUUUGUUAGUCAUACACUUCAUCUUGUUCCUUGUGUGCUUUUAUCUAUGGUUCUGUUGUUCUUAUUGUCAGUAGCAUGCACUUACUAAUUUAUUUAGUUUAGCUUGGCAUGUUCCCCUUACCCCAUCCCUUGUCUCAAUAAAUGUUUACUUUUCCUUGUGCAUUACUACCAUGUAUCCAGGUCUACUUGGCUAUUUGAAUAGCCUAAAACCUCUUCCUGAGGCUGACUGUAUCAGGGUUUGGUGCAGUAAGAAGUGAACCCAUGUUUGCAACCAUGUCUAAUUACCUUCCUUGAAUAUGUUGGCUGUGUAGUUCUCUUUACUUAUAUGUUCUCUUCCCCUUUGCCCCUGUUUGUGUGUUGCUCUGAAAAGGUUCAAAUGAUUUCAGAAGAACUUUUUUAACCCUUUCAAUUGUUUUCUCAAACUUUUUCUCAAAUCUUUCAAUUGUUUUCUCAAACUGUCUUUCAGAUUCUACUAUUUUCUUAAACUGUCUCUCAACUGUUAUCAACUCUCUCGAUUCUAUCACAACUUCACUACUCUUAGAACAUUAGGUUCUGCCCCAUUACUGUAAGAAUUUCCUUGGGAGACCUUAAGCACCCACUGAACUUUGAUGCACAAGGCCGGCGCUUCCAAACUUGCACUUGUCAAAAAAUAAUAUCUUUGGGUGUUUGGUAUUGGCCAGGGGUUCAAGCGAACCCUUAG